Molecule: ribosomal RNA, 496 nt
Filed under: uncultured bacterium
Lineage: Bacteria
Description: partial 16S ribosomal RNA
Source: RNAcentral
CACAGAGUUAGCCGGGGCUUCCUCUGCAGGUACAAUCAACUUUAGAGCGUAUUAGGCCCUAUCGCUUUUUCCCUGCUGACAGGAGUUUACAAUCCAAAGACCUUCAUCCUCCACGCGGCGCUGCUGCGUCAGGCGUUAGCCCAUUGCGCAAAAUUCCCCACUGCUGCCUCCCGUAGGAGUCUGGACCGUGUCUCAGUUCCAGUGUGGCCGAUCACCCUCUCAGGCCGGCUACCGAUCGUCGCCUUGGUAGGCCAUUACCCUACCAACUAGCUAAUCGGACGCGGACCCUCCUUCAGCGGAAGCUCUUGCGAGCCCCCUUUGACCUCUCGGUCGUAUGCGGUAUUAGCCCGAGUUUCCCCGGGUAUUCCCCACUCAAGGGUAGGUAUCCACGCGUUACUCACCCGUUCGCCGCUCGACUGGGUAUUGCUACCGCCUCGCUCGACUUGCAUGUGUAAAGCACGCCGCCAGCGUUCAUUCUGAGCCAGGAUCAAACUCU